This 617-nucleotide ribosomal RNA is filed under the name Bemisia sp. WTT-2017. RNAcentral's name for it is "16S ribosomal RNA". It matches the Rfam family "Archaeal large subunit ribosomal RNA", at positions 1855 to 2766 of the family's 2987-position model. Lineage: Eukaryota; Metazoa; Arthropoda; Insecta; Hemiptera; Aleyrodidae. The record is from RNAcentral.
AAUUAAUAAUUAGGCAAAUAAUUAGUUUUCAGCUGUUUAUCAAAAACAUAGUUUAAAGAAAAAAAUUUUAGAUAAGUUCUGCUCAAUGAUAAAUCUUAAAUAGCUGCAGUAAAUUAACUGUACUAAGGUAGCAUAAUAAAUUGCUUUAUAAUUCAAAGCUUGAAUGAAGGAAAAAAUGAAAAACUAACUUUUUUAACUAAAAUAGUACAAAUUAAUAUUUAAGUGAAAAAUCUUAAAUUAAAUCAAAAGACAAGAAGACCCUUUAGAAUUUAACAAUUAAAAUUAAUUUUAAUUAAAUAUAAUUUGUUAAAUUGGGGAGAUUUUUAAAUAAAUAAAUCUUUUAAUAUAAUAAAAUGAAUUUAAUCAAAUUAAAUUAUCCAAAUAAGAAAUAAACUAAAUUACCUAAGGGAUAACAGCGUAAAAUUUUUGAGAAGAUCAAAUUCCCAAAAUAAAUUACGACCUCGAUGUUGGAUUAAGAAUAACUUAUAGAGAAGAAUUUAUAAGAAUUGGUCUGUUCGCCCAGUAACUCUUACAUGAUCUGAGUUCAGACCGGCGUAAGCCAGGUCAGUUUAUAUCUUUGAUUAUAUAUUUCUAUACUACAGUACGAAAGGAUCUAG